AUGUUAGUUGCCGCUUUGACAUUCUUUCUUGGGAAAGAUGAAGAUGAAAAACAGGACAGUGACUCCGAAUCUGAGGAUGAUGGACCAACAGCAAGAGACCUGCUAGUACAAUAUGCUACAGGGAAGAAAAGUUCCAAAAACAAGAAAAAGUUGGAAAAGGCAAUGAAAGUACUCAAGAAACAAAAAAAGAAGAAAAAACCAGAGGUGUUUAACUUUUCAGCCAUUCACUUGAUUCAUGAUCCCCAAGAUUUUGCGGAAAAACUACUAAAGCAGCUUGAGUGCUGUAAGGAGAGGUUUGAAGUGAAGAUGAUGCUCAUGAACCUCAUCUCCAGAUUGGUGGGAAUUCAUGAGAAGUAACAAAGAUCCUUCUGUUUGCUGCACAAGCAUCUCAUCACCUAGUACCCCCAGAGAUUAUUCAAUCAUUGCUUAUGACUGUGGCAAACAAUUUUGUUACCGACAAGAACUCUGGAGAAGUCAUGACAGUAGGAAUCAAUGCUAUAAAGGAGAUAACAGCUCGAUGUCCUCUGGCCAUGACUGAAGAACUUCUCCAAGACCUGGCUCAGUAUAAAACACACAAGGAUAAGAAUGUAAUGAUGUCUGCUAGAACUUUGAUUCACCUCUUCCGAACACUGAAUCCUCAGAUGCUGCAGAAGAAAUUCCGGGGUAAGCCUACAGAGGCCUCCAUAGAAGCAAGAGUACAAGAAUAUGGAGAAUUAGAUGCUAAAGAUUACAU
Molecule: small RNA, 733 nt
Filed under: Pongo abelii (Sumatran orangutan)
Lineage: Eukaryota; Metazoa; Chordata; Mammalia; Primates; Hominidae
Description: processed transcript
Source: RNAcentral